RNAcentral lists this ribosomal RNA (502 nucleotides) under uncultured bacterium. RNAcentral describes it as "partial 16S ribosomal RNA". It matches the Rfam family "Bacterial small subunit ribosomal RNA", at positions 28 to 523 of the family's 1533-position model. The record is from RNAcentral.
GAUGAACGCUAGCGGCAGGCUUAAUACAUGCAAGUCGUGGGGCAGCAUGAAGUAGCAAUACUUUGAUGGCGACCGGCAAACGGGUGCGGAACACGUACACAACCUUCCUUUUAGUGGGGAAUAGCCCAGAGAAAUUUGGAUUAAUACCCCGUAACAUAGCGAUGUGGCAUCACAUUGCUAUUAUAGCUUCGGCGCUAGAUGAUGGGUGUGCGUAUGAUUAGAUAGUUGGCGAGGUAACGGCUCACCAAGUCUACGAUCAUUAGCUGAUGUGAGGCCAGGAUCAGCCACACGGGCAAGGAGACACGGGCCCGACACCUACGGGAGGCAGCAGUAAGGAAUAUUGGUAAAUGGCCGAAAGUCUGAACCAGCCAUGCCGCGUGAAGGAUUAAGGUCCUCUGGAUUGUAAACUUCUUUUAUAUGGGACGAAAAAAGGUCUUUCUAGAUCACUUGACGGUGCCAUAUGAAUAAGCACCGGCUAACUCCGUGCCAGCAGCCGCAGUAA